GAUGAAGAACGUAGCGAAAUGCGAUAAGUAGUGUGAAUUGCAGAAUUCAGUGAAUCAUCGAAUCUUUGAACGCACAUUGCGCCCCUUGGUAUCCCGAGGGGCAUGUCUGUUCGAGCGUCAUUUCGCCACUCAAGCCUGGCUUGGUGUUGGGCGACGUCCCCUUUGGGGACGCGCCUCGAAACGCUCGGCGGCGUGGCACCGGCUUUAAGCGUAGCAGAAUCUUUCGCUUUGGAAGUCGGGGCCCCGUCUGCCGGAAGACCUACUCGCAAGGUUGACCUCGGAUCAGGCAGGGAUACCCGCUGAACUUAAGCAUAUCAAUAAGCGGAGGA
RNAcentral lists this unclassified non-coding RNA (329 nucleotides) under soil metagenome. RNAcentral describes it as "partial contains 5.8S ribosomal RNA, internal transcribed spacer 2, and large subunit ribosomal RNA". The stretch from base 1 to 120 matches the Rfam family "5.8S ribosomal RNA", at positions 35 to 154 of the family's 154-position model. The record is from RNAcentral.